Molecule: ribosomal RNA, 497 nt
Filed under: uncultured bacterium
Lineage: Bacteria
Description: partial 16S ribosomal RNA
Rfam family: Bacterial small subunit ribosomal RNA
Source: RNAcentral
GACGAACGCUGGCGGCGUGCCUAAUACAUGCAAGUUGAGCGCUGAAGGUUGGUACUUGUACCAACUGGAUGAGCAGCGAACGGGUGAGUAACGCGUGGGGAAUCUGCCUUUGAGCGGGGGACAACAUUUGGAAACGAAUGCUAAUACCGCAUAAAAACUUUAAACACAAGUUUUAAGUUUGAAAGAUGCAAUUGCAUCACUCAAAGAUGAUCCCGCGUUGUAUUAGCUAGUUGGUGAGGUAAAGGCUCACCAAGGCGAUGAUACAUAGCCGACCUGAGAGGGUGAUCGGCCACAUUGGGACUGAGACACGGCCCAAACUCCUACGGGAGGCAGCAGUAGGGAAACUUCGGAAAUGGACGAAAGUCUGACCGAGCAACGCCGGGGGAGGGAAGAAGGUUGUCGGAUCGUAAAACUCUGUUGGUAGAGAAGAACGUGGGUGAGAGUGGAAAGCUCAUCAAGUGACGGUAACUACCCAGAAAGGGACGGCUAACUACGUG